UACGUAGGGUGCAAGCGUUGUCCGGAAUUAUUGGGCGUAAAGAGCGUGUAGGCGCCAGGUAGGUCCGCUGUGAAAACUCGAGGCUCAACCUCGAGAUGUCGGCGGAAACCAUCUGGCUAGAGUCCGGAAGAGGAGAGUGGAAUUCCUGGUGUAGCGGUGAAAUGCGCAGAUAUCAGGAAGAACACCGGUGGCGAAGGCGGGGUCUCUGGGGCAGUAACUGACGCUGAGGAGCGAAAAGCGUGGGGGAGCGAAACAGG
This 257-nucleotide ribosomal RNA is filed under the name uncultured bacterium. Its description in RNAcentral is "partial 16S ribosomal RNA". It matches the Rfam family "Bacterial small subunit ribosomal RNA", at positions 524 to 776 of the family's 1533-position model. The record is from RNAcentral.